GGCUGUAGAUUACCAUUCAAAACUUAUCUUUUUUUUUCCCAACUGAGUUUUCAUUGAUAACUUUGUUAAACACACAAAGAGGAAUACAAAUGCCGGCGGAAAACAUGAAUAUCCCCGGAAACCAAGCCCACACAAGGGAAUCAAAAGUCCAAGAGACAGACCACUAAUAAACGAAGCUUUAAGCUACAAACUAAAUUCUUUCAACUAAAACUUAACCUAUGAAGAGAAAAUAGAAACCAUACUUAAUUGUCUUACGAGUAGUCGGAUGUCUCGCCACACAGGGAGCAAGAGAGCAUGAAAAGUAGAAGUUCUUCAUGAAAAGCAAGAACCAUCAUCUGAACCACCCGUUCACGAUGACCACACACACCACACACCACCACUCAGACGAAGCCAAGACAUACAACAAGAAGAAACAAACACCCGGGAGAGCUGUCAUCUCAACCACGCCUUCAUCUGAACACUACAAAACCUCAACCUCUUUUUAUUGCUUCAACACCUAGAAGCCACCGAGGAAAUCCAGAGACCAAGAGAGACCAGAAGUAACUUAUUCGAAGGGCAGGAGAAGGACGUCUUAGAACCUGAGAGACCAGGGGUGACUUGAAACCAACUCUUCUUCACGACACUAACCUUCAGUAGCUCUCCACAUACCACUACUACUCUGCUUCACCGUUGCUGGAACAAAGACAAAUUAAGCCAUUCUCUACACUCCAUGACAGAUUAGUCUAAGAUGAACUCAGAAGAUUAGCAAAGACACUGCAAACUACACAAGACCUUGAUCACGACCAACUAUGAAGGCGAGAGAGAUUCUGAAACCCAUUAUAGGAUAGAUACAGCUCAAACCAGAAAGAGCAAAGGGAACAAACUUUUUAAGCACAAGGCCAGCGAGAAGACAAGUAGAUCUAGGAGUUCAAAGAAGAAGCAAACUCUGAUGCUGGCGAGAAACAACCAGCACACGUCAUCAACAUCUAGAAAAGACCUGACUUUAGCGACCUGACUCUGAAAAUAAACUUCACGCGCCACCACGCUCCUCCACGCCGGAGUCUUCACAUCCAUCAAAUCAGUCGAAUCCUCCUCACGCCUUCAGAGAACAACACGAACAAACAACAAUAGAGCAAUGAAACGCGACUCCGGUGUUAUGAGAGCCACCGGAUUCGACCACCGUCAAAACCUAGAUCUACUUCCUCUCACCGGACGAGUCACCUUCACCAUUCAAAACUUAUCUUAAACUUU
RNAcentral lists this long non-coding RNA (1230 nucleotides) under Brassica rapa (field mustard). Its description in RNAcentral is "long non-coding RNA (BRAP_LNC006916)". The record is from RNAcentral. Lineage: Eukaryota; Viridiplantae; Streptophyta; Magnoliopsida; Brassicales; Brassicaceae.